GUGCAGAUCCCCCUUGGAGCUCAUCUGAGACUUGUGCUUCCAGGGUAGAACCAGCAGGAAACUGGGAUCCUGUUGAUGGCUCUGCAGGGCAGCCAAGGGUAUAGAGCAGACAUUAGGCAGUGCUUGGAAAUAAAGCAGAACCAUGCACCCAGCAACACCUUUGAUCUCGACCAUAUGGAGCUUCACCAAGCUCUGGAAAAAAAUCUCCCUUGCCUCCACAGCCGGCCGAGAGAAGCAGGGGCCCCCAGAUGGCCAGAUACCAUGGGCGCCCGCACCCCAUGGAUGAUCUCAUCCUCUGAUUGGUCCCUGUGGCAAAGACAGAAGACUCGCUUCUCCAGCUGGAGGCAAGUCCGUGUCCCCAGCCUUGGGUGAGGUUGAUGGUUUUCACAGCUCGGUUUUGGGGGACAAAUAUUUAA
Nyctereutes procyonoides (raccoon dog) is the source of this 416-nucleotide long non-coding RNA. RefSeq lists it as uncharacterized. The record is from RefSeq and is a predicted model, not a curated record. NCBI's taxonomy places the organism in Eukaryota, Metazoa, Chordata, Mammalia, Carnivora, Canidae. The transcript has 3 exons.